RNAcentral lists this transfer RNA (87 nucleotides) under Gammaproteobacteria bacterium. RNAcentral's name for it is "tRNA-Leu". It matches the Rfam family "tRNA". From Rfam's summary of the family: Transfer RNA (tRNA) molecules are approximately 80 nucleotides in length. Lineage: Bacteria; Pseudomonadati; Pseudomonadota; Gammaproteobacteria. The record is from RNAcentral.
GCCGGGGUGGCGGAACUGGUAGACGCGCCAGACUCAAAAUCUGGUAUCCGAAAGGGUGUGCGAGUUCGAUUCUCGCUCCCGGCACCA